Molecule: ribosomal RNA, 468 nt
Filed under: uncultured bacterium
Lineage: Bacteria
Description: partial 16S ribosomal RNA
Rfam family: Bacterial small subunit ribosomal RNA
Source: RNAcentral
GACGAACGCUGGCGGCGUGCUUAACACAUGCAAGUCGAACGAUGAAAGAGGAGCUUGCUCCUCUGGAUUAGUGGCGAACGGGUGAGUAACACGUGAGCAAUCUGCCCCUGACUCCGGAAUAACUACGGGAAACUGUAGCUAAUACCGGAUAUGCGCCGAACACGCAUCUGGAUCGGUGGGAAAGAAUUUCGGUCAGGGAUGAGCUCGCGGCCUAUCAGCUUGUUGGUGAGGUAACGGCUCACCAAGGCGACGACGGGUAGCCGGCCUGAGAGGGUGACCGGCCACAUUGGGACUGAGACACGGCCCAGACUCCUACGGGAGGCAGCAGUGGGGAAUAUUGCACAAUGGGAGCAAGCCUGAUGCAGCAACGCCGCGUGAGGGAUGACGGCCUUCGGGUUGUAAACCUCUUUUAGCAGGGAAGAAGCGAAAGUGACGGUACCUGCAGAAAAAGCGCCGGCUAACUACGUG